This 455-nucleotide ribosomal RNA is filed under the name uncultured soil bacterium. Its description in RNAcentral is "bacterial SSU rRNA". It matches the Rfam family "Bacterial small subunit ribosomal RNA", at positions 26 to 476 of the family's 1533-position model. The record is from RNAcentral.
AGAUUGAACGCUGGCGGCAGGCCUAACACAUGCAAGUCGAGCGGUAGAGAGGUGCUUGCAUCUCUUGAGAGCGGCGGACGGGUGAGUAAUGCCUAGGAAUCUGCCUAGUGGUGGGGGAUAACGUUCGGAAACGGACGCCAAUACCGCAUACGUCCUACGGGAGAAAGCGGGGGACCUUCGGGCCUCGCGCCAUUAGAUGAGCCUAGGUCGGAUUAGCUAGUAGGUGAGGUAAUGGCUCACCAAGGCGACGAUCCGUAACUGGUCUGAGAGGAUGAUCAGUCACACUGGAACUGAGACACGGUCCAGACUCCUACGGGAGGCAGCAGUGGGGAAUAUUGGACAAUAGGGCGAAAAGCCUGAUCCAAGCCAUGCCGCGUGUGUGAAAGAAGGCUUUCGGAAUUGUAAAAGCAACUUUAAGUUGGUAACGGAAAGGGUUAGUUAAACCUAAUAACGUU